UCUCCUGUGGCGCAAUUGGCUAGCGCGUCUGACUGUUAAUCAGGAGGUUGGUGGUUCGAGCCCACCCGGGAGAG
Molecule: transfer RNA, 74 nt
Filed under: Cladophialophora yegresii CBS 114405
Lineage: Eukaryota; Fungi; Ascomycota; Eurotiomycetes; Chaetothyriales; Herpotrichiellaceae
Rfam family: tRNA
About the family: Transfer RNA (tRNA) molecules are approximately 80 nucleotides in length. Their secondary structure includes four short double-helical elements and three loops (D, anti-codon, and T loops).
Source: Rfam by way of RNAcentral